Molecule: ribosomal RNA, 470 nt
Filed under: uncultured Alphaproteobacteria bacterium
Lineage: Bacteria; Pseudomonadati; Pseudomonadota; Alphaproteobacteria
Description: bacterial SSU rRNA
Rfam family: Bacterial small subunit ribosomal RNA
Source: RNAcentral
GAGUUUGAUCCUGGCUCAGAACGAACGCUGGCGGCAGGCCUAACACAUGCAAGUCGAACGCCCGAGCAAUCGGGAGUGGCAGACGGGUGAGUAACGCGUGGGAACCUUCCCAAUGGUACGGAAUAGCCCAGGGAAACUUGGAGUAAUACCGUAUACGCCCGCAAGGGGAAAGAUUCAUCGCCAUUGGAUGGGCCCGCGUAGGAUUAGCUAGUUGGUGAGGUAAUGGCUCACCAAGGCGACGAUCCUUAGCUGGUCUGAGAGGACGAUCAGCCACACUGGGACUGAGACACGGCCCAGACUCCUACGGGAGGCAGCAGUGGGGAAUAUUGGACAAUGGGCGCAAGCCUGAUCCAGCCAUGCCGCGUGAGUGAUGAAGGCCUUAGGGUUGUAAAGCUCUUUUUGGCGGGGACGAUAAUGACGGUACCCGCAGAAUAAGCCCCGGCUAACUUCGUGCCAGCCGCCGCGGUAAU